GAUUUGAUCUUUUUGAGGUCAAUUUGGAAUUCAGUUUUUGCUGGUUCCUUUGCUGUGCUAUAGUAAUUUGAACUUCAGAGGUUCCUCCCCCUCCCCAUUUCUCUUUAUCUCCCUACCUGCCUACCCACCUCGUUUUGGUAACAAGUGGUUUCAUACUCCUCUUUGUUUUUUUCCCCCUACUUUCGAAGAUUGGCGUUUAUUGGGUUAUUGGUUGUACCGUUUUGUAAUUUUUUUAAUAGUUAUGUUGAAAUAUAUUUGGAA
This 261-nucleotide unclassified non-coding RNA is filed under the name Hevea brasiliensis (rubber tree). Lineage: Eukaryota; Viridiplantae; Streptophyta; Magnoliopsida; Malpighiales; Euphorbiaceae. The record is from RNAcentral.